This 1465-nucleotide long non-coding RNA is filed under the name Dasypus novemcinctus (nine-banded armadillo). RNAcentral describes it as "lncRNA (ENSDNOG00000051715.1)". Lineage: Eukaryota; Metazoa; Chordata; Mammalia; Cingulata; Dasypodidae. The record is from RNAcentral.
AAUUGACUUUAUUAAUGAGGAAAUUUACAGACUCAUAUACUUGGGAGUCUACAGAUUGUGAGGUCUUCUGGAUGGUUGGUCCAGCAUCUCAAAGAUGCCCUGAAGCACCUAAAUUCUUUCUGACUCUGCUUUUAUCCAUGGUAUAGCUUCAUUCUAAAAGGGGUUCCCCCUUAGGGUCACAGGAUGGCAGCCAAAAGCAAUAGGUCUCCUAAUCUUUUUUUUUUUUUCACUUGAAAAUACACAUAAACAAUAAGCAUAUAGUAAAAGUUGUGAACUUAAUAAACAAACAUACAUAACAUCAUAAAUGGCUCCCAUACAUUACCCCACCACCAACACCUUGCUUUGUGAAAUAUUUGUUACAAAUUAUGAAAGAGCAUCAUCAAAGUACUGAUGUAUUUUUUGCUUUGUUCUCUUCUAGGCCUUCUCCAAGUGGUGGUACGAUCUACAUUAUCUUUGCAAGAUUGCAUCAUUUUAAAAAUGUUUUUUCUUCCCUACUGGGAUUUCCAUAUGCGAAGUUUAAGGGUACACUCCAGUCUCUGGGAGCUGUAGCUGCCAGUCCAGUUCCAAACAGCUGGCCGAGCAGUCCAAAGAGGAGUGGGAACCAAGGGGAACAGGAGCCCAUCUAGUCAGUGAUGGCGAUUCUUGGUGGCUCCAGGCAAUUUGGUUUUUCAAGGUACAGUCAGGUAUGGGGUGAGUUGUCCAGUUGUUUUGUUUCUUGUUGGAGUGUGCCAUUUUAACUCUAGUAUGAUGAAUCCAAGGACAAAUACCUGAAACUUUGAGAGCAGUGGGGGUUACAAGGAAAACAGUAUGUGGGCCCAUCCAGGUAGGUUAGAGGGGCUCUUUUUCAGUUUUUGUGACACAUACAAUUAAAUAAUUACAACCAUGAUUAACAACAUUGUACUUUUGUUUAAUAUUAUGCUGAAACAUUGGUAGAUUUCAGGGAAUUUUAUAUACUCCUUAAAUAUUCAUAUGAACUUUUUACUCAUACAACUUUAAUUAACAGAGGGUUAAAUAAUCCUUUUAAUUUUAUAACACUUUUAAGAACUUUCCAUUUAACUUAUAACAUAUUAAAGGAUUUUAUUACAUUAAUUUUUCAAGGUAAAAGAACAAUUUUUUUGCAGUAAGUUUGAAAUAAAAAUAUAUUUUUCAGAAUCUGAUCUUGAGACAGCAAGUUUGAACAUCAUGUUCCUUAAAAAGAGAUGAGACUUGUUUCUUUUAGAAAACCAAAGAAAUGAUAAGGUUAAAGUACAAGAAGCUAUUUUGAUAAAACAGACUUUCUUUGUAUACUGAUUAUUCAGGAGAAAAACUUUUUAUAAACUUUUAAUAAAGCAGACUAGUGACUUGAGAAACUUUGUCACACUAAUAGAAAAAGAAUAAAAUUUCAACUUUGCAUCAGUAUACUAUUUGAUACUAAAGCUUUUAAAAUUUUAUAGAUAGACCCAUCAAAUCUUACUUAACUUUAACC